This 284-nucleotide ribosomal RNA is filed under the name uncultured bacterium. RNAcentral describes it as "partial 16S ribosomal RNA". It matches the Rfam family "Bacterial small subunit ribosomal RNA", at positions 335 to 635 of the family's 1533-position model. The record is from RNAcentral.
UUUUCCUCGGGACGCAGCAGUGGGGAAUAUUGCGCAAUGGGGGCAACCCUGACGCAGCAACGCCGCGUGAUUGAAGAAGGCCUUCGGGUUGUAAAGAUCUUUAAUCGGGGACGAAUUUUGACGGUACCCGAAGAAUAAGCUCCGGCUAACUACGUGCCAGCAGCCGCGGUAAUACGUAGGGAGCAAGCGUUAUCCGGAUUUACUGGGUGUAAAGGGCGUGUAGGCGGGCAUGCAAGACAGAAGUGAAAUCUGGGGGCUUAACCCCCAAACUGCUUUUGGAACUG